RNAcentral lists this transfer RNA (119 nucleotides) under Daphnia magna. It matches the Rfam family "tRNA". Rfam says of the family: Transfer RNA (tRNA) molecules are approximately 80 nucleotides in length. Their secondary structure includes four short double-helical elements and three loops (D, anti-codon, and T loops). Further hydrogen bonds mediate the characteristic L-shaped molecular structure. tRNAs have two regions of fundamental functional importance: the anti-codon, which is responsible for specific mRNA codon recognition, and the 3' end, to which the tRNAs corresponding amino acid is attached (by aminoacyl-tRNA synthetases). tRNAs cope with the degeneracy of the genetic code in two manners: having more than one tRNA (with a specific anti-codon) for a particular amino acid; and 'wobble' base-pairing, i.e. permitting non-standard base-pairing at the 3rd anti-codon position. The record is from Rfam by way of RNAcentral. Lineage: Eukaryota; Metazoa; Arthropoda; Branchiopoda; Diplostraca; Daphniidae.
UCUCCAGUGGCGCAGUUGGUUAGCGCAUGGUACUUAUAUGUCAGUAAUUUCAUUGUGCUAAGCAUCGAGUGAUUCGUGAAGUAAUGCCGAGGUCGCGAGUUCGAGCCUCGCCUGGAGAA